GAGAUAGAAAGUUGAAAAUAAAUAGGCGCAUGGGUAAAUCAAUCAUGCCUCUGUUCAAAAGCUUUGAAUUAUCGCUGGCGUCUUCAGUCUCAACAGUUCUUCAUGAUCAACCAGGAAGGUACGGGAAUAUUCAUAAAAUAGGAACUUGUAAAUCCUAACCUGGAGAGUGGGGUGAUUGGCCAAUCAUCUCUGAGUGCGGAGUGGCUCUCAAAGAAUUCUUUCACGCGUCGCAAACGAAAUUGGGAGAGCUACGAUCCACCAAAGAAUUUGAUGUAUGUCUUUUGAUAUAGGAGAAGGAAGGAAGAGGAAAGACGAAACUUGAUCGCUGUUCUGUCAAUACUCUGCUCUUCUUUCUCCGUCAAAGCGUUUUCACCUCGUCAAAUUCUCUAAAGUUUAAAAUUUCGAAAAUAUCCGAUAGAAAAAGAAAAUUGAAAUAAAGUUUCCCGUGGUCCACUCUA
Molecule: long non-coding RNA, 458 nt
Organism: Pocillopora damicornis (cauliflower coral)
Lineage: Eukaryota; Metazoa; Cnidaria; Anthozoa; Scleractinia; Pocilloporidae
Source: RefSeq, a predicted model, not a curated record